RNAcentral lists this ribosomal RNA (1329 nucleotides) under Triticum aestivum (bread wheat). RNAcentral's name for it is "partial small subunit ribosomal RNA". The record is from RNAcentral. Lineage: Eukaryota; Viridiplantae; Streptophyta; Magnoliopsida; Poales; Poaceae.
AUGCCACGGCCUGGAACCAAAUUGCCGAGCACGGCACGGCUUGCCUGCCCUUCUGACGCUGCUUGUCACUCUGGUGCCCGUCUUCUGCUUCGUUCUUGCUCCGGAUCGGCCAAUUGCGGCGGGCCUGCUAUGACGGUGGUCAUGGGUCGGCGCCGGUGCGCUCACUGGAUGCUGCUGCUCUUCUGUUGCCUCCUCCUCACGUCCCCCUCACAUGGUCAUCGUCACAAUCGACCCGCUGACGCGUUUGUCGGGGGAUACGGGAUAAACUACGGGAGAAUAGCGAACAACCUCCCGUCUCCGGACAAGGUGGUGGAGCUCCUCAGGAGGUCCAAGAUAAGGAAUGUCAAGAUAUAUAAUGAAGAUCACACUGUGCUCGACGCGUUCAAAGGGACAGGGCUCAACCUGGUCAUUGCUGUCCACAAUGGGUUGCUGAAUGCUUUUGCUGCAAAUGAGAGCGUCGCGAUUGACUGGCUGAAUGAGAACGUGCAGCCUUACAUUUCUCAGACACGCAUUGUUGGAAUCACUGUGGGGAAUGAGGUGCUGGGAGGCGAUCCGAGCUUGGCCGCUCCGCUCGUUGGAGCUGUUAAGAAUAUGUACGAUGGUCUCAAGAAACUGCAUCUGGAUGACAAAAUUGAGCUUUUCACACCUCACUCUGAAGCUGUUUUCGCUACUUCCUAUCCGCCCUCUGCAUGUGUUUUCAAGGAAGAAAUCAUGGUGUAUAUGAAACCGCUGCUGGACUUGUUUUCACGGAUCGGCUCACCUUUCUAUGUCAAUGCAUAUCCCUUUUUGGCGUACUUAACUGAUCCGGGGCAGAUCGACAUUAAUUAUGCUCUCUUUCAGCCCAACCCUGGAGUAGUUGAUCCGAAUACUAGUCUGCACUAUGACAACAUGUUUGAUGCUCAGAUAGAUGCAGCUUACGCUGCUCUGCAGGCUGCUGGUUAUAAUGACAUGGAAGUCCGGGUGGCAGAGACUGGCUGGGCUUCUAGUGGAGAUCAAAAUCAAGCAGGACCAUCAGUUGAGAAUGCAAGGACUUACAAUUACAACCUCCGUAAGAGGCUCUUUUUGAGGAAGGGAACUCCUCUCAAGCCAAAGAUACCAGUCAAAGCAUACAUCUUUGCCUUGUUUAAUGAGAACUUGAAGAAUGGAGAUCCUACUGAGAAGCACUAUGGGCUCUUCAAUCCAGAUGGAAGGAUUUCAUAUGAUAUCGGUUACUCAGGUCUAUUACCUUCAUCAGCACCCGCAUCCUUGCUGUCAAUUAAGGAGAUGCGAGCCUGGGGUUGGAUUGCACACUAUUCGGCUGCGGUUAUCCUAGCUAUUUUCUUGUCUUAG